UGGGGUAUAGCCAAGUGGCAAGGCACCGGUUUUUGAUACCGGCAUCCCUGGUUCGAAUCCAGGUACCCCAG
RNAcentral lists this transfer RNA (71 nucleotides) under Buchnera aphidicola (Therioaphis trifolii). It matches the Rfam family "tRNA". Rfam says of the family: Transfer RNA (tRNA) molecules are approximately 80 nucleotides in length. The record is from Rfam by way of RNAcentral. RNAcentral also lists the same sequence under 2 other names. Lineage: Bacteria; Pseudomonadati; Pseudomonadota; Gammaproteobacteria; Enterobacterales; Erwiniaceae.